Molecule: long non-coding RNA, 346 nt
Organism: Lagopus leucura (white-tailed ptarmigan)
Lineage: Eukaryota; Metazoa; Chordata; Aves; Galliformes; Phasianidae
Exons: 3
Source: RefSeq, a predicted model, not a curated record
UCAUGCUGCAGUGCUCCAUACCCCCAUUAUACUGCCAUGAUUAUGAUACUAAUUCAGUAAAAUGGCUUCACAGUGUAAUAAAAUCAACCCAGAGCAUGGAAGAUGAAAGGACUCCCUCUCCAUUCCCUCUCCAUUUGACCUGGCUGGCAGUGGAUGCUGUCCCAGACUCAGAGGACCUUUCCUCAAUUUGCGUGGUUGUGGUCUGAGUGCCUUGGCAGUGGGAAGCUCUGGUUACCCAAAAAGAAGGACCUAAGCUGCCUGGCUGAGGGGACAGGAGCAUGCGCCCAGGCCUUACCUAUGGGAAUGGAGAAGGCUUGGUGUGCUGCACAAGAAAAGUGGAUGCUCC